This 389-nucleotide long non-coding RNA is filed under the name Nicotiana benthamiana. Its description in RNAcentral is "long non-coding RNA (NBEN_LNC027242)". The record is from RNAcentral. Lineage: Eukaryota; Viridiplantae; Streptophyta; Magnoliopsida; Solanales; Solanaceae.
AUUCUGGUAGUGACUGCAAGAUCAAAUCUUGAGAGAGCUCUGUACCUAGUUUGCACCCCAACUUCUCAAGCUCUUCAAUAAGAUCAAUCAUAUGAUUGACAUAGGGUCCAACUGGUGAGUUUCCAUUCAAUUUGGAUCCAAAUAAAGCCUUAGAUAGUUGGCAUCUAGCUGUUCUGCUUUGUGUACCAAACAUCUUCUUAAGAUGUUCAAUAAUUGCAGUUGGAUCCAUAUCCUGAUGUUUCUUCUGCAGUUCAGAAUUCAUAGGAGCGAGAAUGAUGCAUUUGGUAGUAAGACAUUCUUCCAAGUAUUUUUGAUAAAUCUUGGUAGCAUCAUCAUCAUUUACAUAUGGGACUUCCUUAGCGGGCUUAUCGAUCACAUCAAUAAGUUUU